CUCUGGUAUUGAUUGGUGCUUGCAUCAUGAUUUACAUUUGAGUGAGUGGCGAACUGGUGAGUAACACGUGGGAAACCUGCCCAGAAGCGGGGGAUAACACCUGGAAACAGAUGCUAAUACCGCAUAACAACUUGGACCGCAUGGUCCGAGUUUGAAAGAUGGCUUCGGCUAUCACUUUUGGAUGGUCCCGCGGCGUAUUAGCUAGAUGGUGGGGUAACGGCUCACCAUGGCAAUGAUACGUAGCCGACCUGAGAGGGUAAUCGGCCACAUUGGGACUGAGACACGGCCCAAACUCCUACGGGAGGCAGCAGUAGGGAAUCUUCCACAAUGGACGAAAGUCUGAUGGAGCAACGCCGCGUGAGUGAAGAAGGGUUUCGGCUCGUAAAACUCUGUUGUUAAAGAAGAACAUAUCUGAGAGUAACUGUUCAGGUAUUGACGGUAUUUAACCAGAAAGCCACGGCUAACUACGUGCCAGCAGCCGCGGUAAUACGUAGGUGGCAAGCGUUGUCCGGAUUUAUUGGGCGUAAAGCGAGCGCAGGCGGUUUUUUAAGUCUGAUGUGAAAGCCUUCGGCUCAACCGAAGAAGUGCAUCGGAAACUGGGAAACUUGAGUGCAGAAGAGGACAGUGGAACUCCAUGUGUAGCGGUGAAAUGCGUAGAUAUAUGGAAGAACACCAGUGGCGAAGGCGGCUGUCUGGUCUGUAACUGACGCUGAGGCUCGAAAGUAUGGGUAGCAAACAGGAUUAGAUACCCUGGUAGUCCAUACCGUAAACGAUGAAUGCUAAGUGUUGGAGGGUUUCCGCCCUUCAGUGCUGCAGCUAACGCAUUAAGCAUUCCGCCUGGGGAGUACGGCCGCAAGGCUGAAACUCAAAGGAAUUGACGGGGGCCCGCACAAGCGGUGGAGCAUGUGGUUUAAUUCGAAGCUACGCGAAGAACCUUACCAGGUCUUGACAUACUAUGCAAAUCUAAGAGAUUAGACGUUCCCUUCGGGGACAUGGAUACAGGUGGUGCAUGGUUGUCGUCAGCUCGUGUCGUGAGAUGUUGGGUUAAGUCCCGCAACGAGCGCAACCCUUAUUAUCAGUUGCCAGCAUUAAGUUGGGCACUCUGGUGAGACUGCCGGUGACAAACCGGAGGAAGGUGGGGAUGACGUCAAAUCAUCAUGCCCCUUAUGACCUGGGCUACACACGUGCUACAAUGGAUGGUACAACGAGUUGCGAACUCGCGAGAGUAAGCUAAUCUCUUAAAGCCAUUCUCAGUUCGGAUUGUAGGCUGCAACUCGCCUACAUGAAGUCGGAAUCGCUAGUAAUCGCGGAUCAGCAUGCCGCGGUGAAUACGUUCCCGGGCCUUGUACACACCGCCCGUCACACCAUGAGAGUUUGUAACACCCAAA
This 1388-nucleotide ribosomal RNA is filed under the name Lactiplantibacillus plantarum. Its description in RNAcentral is "bacterial SSU rRNA". It matches the Rfam family "Bacterial small subunit ribosomal RNA", at positions 70 to 1425 of the family's 1533-position model. The record is from RNAcentral. Lineage: Bacteria; Bacillati; Bacillota; Bacilli; Lactobacillales; Lactobacillaceae.